RNAcentral lists this microRNA (22 nucleotides) under Panagrellus redivivus. RNAcentral's name for it is "prd-miR-72-5p". Its record names the gene prd-miR-72-5p. Lineage: Eukaryota; Metazoa; Nematoda; Chromadorea; Rhabditida; Panagrolaimidae. The record is from miRBase by way of RNAcentral. RNAcentral also lists the same sequence under 14 other names.
AGGCAAGAUGUUGGCAUAGCUG